Equus caballus (horse) is the source of this 2439-nucleotide long non-coding RNA. RefSeq lists it as uncharacterized. The record is from RefSeq and is a predicted model, not a curated record. NCBI's taxonomy places the organism in Eukaryota, Metazoa, Chordata, Mammalia, Perissodactyla, Equidae.
GUGCCAUGACAGCGCCUAGGAUCCGAACCAGCAAAAUCCUGGGCUGCCGCAGCAGAGCGCAUGAACUUAACCACUUGGCCAUGGGGCCGGCCCCUCCCUUAGUUUUUAUUGUGAAAAAUUUCAGACUACGAAAGAUUAUAAGAGUAGUACAAUAUACACCUAGAUAUCCAUCACUUAGAUCACCAGGUAUCAACAUAUUGCCACCUUUACUGUUUCUUGCUCCCUCACAAACACUGGCACCCACAGUGAAUGUUCUGUACACACAUUUGGUUUUUGCUGAAUCAUUUAAGAUUAAGCUGUGGAAUUAUGGUAAUUCAGUCAUAAAUACUUUAGCCAGUAUCUCCUAAGAAUAGGGACAUUUUCCUUUAUAACCAUAAUACAGUUCUCACACUCAAUUUAACUUUGAUAACAGUACUACUAUCUAAUAGAUAGUCUAUACUUCAAUUUUCCCAGGUAUCCCAAUAAUAUGUCUUUAUAGUUGUGUUUUUUAAAAUAACAGCUUUAUUGCAAUGUAGUUCACAUACCAUACAAUUCACGUAUUUAAAGUGUACAAUUCACUGGUUUUUACUGUAUUCAGAAUUGUACAACCAUUGCCACAAUCAAUUUUCAAAAGUUUUUAUUACCCUAAGAGGAAAUCCUAUGCCCGUUAGCAGUCAUUUGUCUUCCCCACUCCACCCCUUAGCCCUAGGCAAUGCUAAUCUAUUUUUUGUCUCUGUAGAUUUUCCUGGACGUUUCAUUUAAAUAUAAUCGUACAAUAUGUGAUCUGUUGUCACUGGCUUGUUGGUAAAAUGAUUUUGAGGCACACCCAUGUUGUAGUAUGUAUUGGUACUUCAUUCCUUUUUAUGGCUGAAUAAUAUUUCACUGUAUAGAUAUACCACAUUUUGUUCAUCAUUUGAUGUACAUUUGGAUUAUUUCCACUUUUUGGCUGUUAUGAAUAAUGCUUCUGUGAACAUUGGUGUACAAGUUUUUGUGUGGAUGUGUCUUUUCAUUUCUCUUGGGUAUAUAUCUAGGAGUGGAAUUGCUGGGUCAUUAUGGUGACUCCAUGUUUACCUUUAUGAGGAACUGCCAGACUGUUUUCAAAUGCACUGCAGCAUUUUACCUUCCCUUUAGCAGUUAUAGUUGGUUUUUGUUUUUGUUUUGGGUCCAGGAUCCACUCAAGGAUCACAUGUCACAUUUAGUUAUGUCCCUUUAGUCUCCUUUUAUCCAGAACAGUCGUCAGUGUCUUUUGUGACAUUGACCUGUUUGAAGAGUUCAUGCCAGUGUUUUGCAGAACAUCCUUCAACUUGGAUUUGUCUGUCUCCUUAUGAUUGGAUUCAGGUGAAACAUUUCUGUCAGGAAUUCUUCAUCUGUGAUGUAUCAUUGUAUCAGGUGGUACUUGAUACCAGUGUGUCCCGUUGUUGGUGAUUUGAAGUUAGAUAAUUUAAGAUGUUGUCUGCCAGCUUUUUCCCCUUUGUAAUUAAUAAGUAAUUUCUGGGGUGAUGUUUGAGACAGGGAAUAUCCUGUCCUCAACAGUUUUGCACCCAUCGUUAGUGUUCAUUGGUGAUUCUUUGACUGAAUCAUUUAUUACUAAGGUGGUUGUAAAAAAGUGAUUUUCUAUUUUAUCUUCCUUCUACAUUCUUGCCAUUUUUCUGUGAAGAUGUAUAACACCCUUUUAAGAAGUUUCAGUGUAAUUCUCUCAUUCAUUGUAAUAACCGUCUCUGUUAUUAUUCAUUUCAGUACUCAAAUUCAGCCCAGAUUUGGCUUCCGUGUCCUAUUGACAGGCCUGUCAAUCUUUGAACAUUUCUUUACUUUCUGACACGCAAGAUGCUUUCCAUGCUGACCUUGUGUUUUCUUCACCCGAGUUCCCUCUGCUUACUUUCAGAAACAGUCAUUUGGAAAAUUGGAAAACUUGAUGUGCCUGCCCAUCCCUCCCUUAGUCGGGAGCCGUAGAGUGUCAGAAAGAAUUGCACCAGGGGAAGCAGGCGCGGCUGCAGCAGGAGGUCUGGGGUUCUGGUUGGAGGGGAAGUUCUCAGUCACUUGUACAGCAAGGUGCAGAAAGCAAGCCCUAGCACUAAUUCUUCAAAGUGGACUCUAGACAAGGCUGAAUUAUUUUAACUUUUCCAUUUAUCUUCUAACCUUUUUGGAAGGAUACCUACAGACUGGGAAAGACAGAAAACUGUCACUGAGGACAGAUUUCUAGAUAUGUCCAAAUCAUCAGAUUAGGAAUGAUCGCCAAAUUUUAUCUUUAAAUAAUGUCUACUAAAAAUGCCUUUAUAUGUCAGCAAAUGGUGCUGGGACAACUGGACACCCCCAUGUAAAAGAACAACAACUACUGACAAGGAUGUGGAGAAACUGAACUCUCGUACGCUGCUGGUGGGAAUGUAAAUGGUACAGCCACUUCGGAAAACAGUCUGGCAGUUCUUCAAAAGGUUAAACACAGAGUUACCAUUUGACCCUGCA